UACGGUUACCUUGUUACGACUUAGUCCCAGUCACCGGGCUUACCGUCGGCCGCCGCCCCCCUUGCGGGUUAGCUAAACGGACUUCGGGUACUCCCAGCUUCCAUGACUUGACGGGCGGUGUGUACAAGGCUCAGGAACACAUUCACCGCGCCGUGGCUGAUGCGCGAUUACUAGCGAUUCCAACUUCAUGGAGUCGAGUUGCAGACUCCAAUCCGAACUGGGGCUGCUUUUCUGCGAUUUGCUCCACCUCGUGGUAUCGCGUCGCUCUGUAGCAGCCAUUGUAGCACGUGCGACACCCUGGACAUAAAGGCCAUGAUGACUUGACGUCGUCCCCACCUUCCUCCGGCUUGACGCCGGCGGUCUCGCUAGAGUCCCCGGCAUGACCCGCUGGCAACUAGCGACAGGGGUUUCGCUCGUUGAGGGACUUAACCCGACACUUCACAGCACGAGCUGACGACAGCCAUGCAGCACCUGUGCGCGUUUCACCCGAAGGCAGCCUGCUCCCCUUUCAGGAAGAGCAUCCGCGCAUGUCAAACCCAGGUAAGGUUCUUCGCGUUGCUUCGAAUUAAUCCACAUGCUCCACCGCUUGUGUGAGCCCCCGUCAAUUCCUUUGAGUUUUAGCCUUGCGGCCGUACUCCCCAGGCGGCGC
This 649-nucleotide ribosomal RNA is filed under the name uncultured bacterium. RNAcentral describes it as "partial 16S ribosomal RNA". The record is from RNAcentral.